This is a long non-coding RNA of Glycine soja, 462 nucleotides long. RefSeq lists it as uncharacterized. The transcript has 2 exons. The record is from RefSeq and is a predicted model, not a curated record. Lineage: Eukaryota; Viridiplantae; Streptophyta; Magnoliopsida; Fabales; Fabaceae.
UUCCAGCGGAAUAUUUGCAUUGAGCUUCCAAACAUUCCUAGAAAGUCGAGGUAUAUUAUUGGGCAUUUACCCAUAUUCUCUGCGUAAUUGCUCUCUCUCCCCUUUCUUGAGCCUGCGAACUUGUUUUUUCGAGGCUCCUCAUCCACUAUCUCAGAGACCAAACCAAGCCAGGAGUUCUGAUCUGAAAGUUGGAAUGAGUUAGGGAAGCAUUUAUUUGUUUUUGUCAUCUAUUUUUUCAGCACAUGUGUAAGUUUAGGAAAACAAAAGAAUAUGAAGUAUUUUAAUUCAAAUGAAAGAAUCAUAUUCUUUUAUAAACCAAUGUGGUCGGCCUAGUAGUAAGAGUAUAGGUAGUGAGUGAGUACAAGUUCUUAUUUCCAUUAUUUGUAUUUUGUACACCCAAAAAAUGGUACUCAUUUUUUUUUUCACUUUACAUAUUUUCUUUAUUAUUUUUAAUAGGCCAAA